AUGAACGCUGGCGGCGUGCCUAAUACAUGCAAGUCGAGCGAACAGACGAGGAGCUUGCUCCUCUAACGUUAGCGGCGGACGGGUGAGUAACACGUGGAUAACCUACCUAUAAGACUGGGAUAACUUCGGGAAACCGGAGCUAAUACCGGAUAAUAUAUUGAACCGCAUGGUUCAAUAGUGAAAGACGGUUUUGCUGUCACUUAUAGAUGGAUCCGCGCCGCAUUAGCUAGUUGGUAAGGUAACAGCUUACCAAGGCAACGAUGCGUAGCCGACCUGAGAGGGUGAUCGGCCACACUGGAACUGAGACACGGUCCAGACUCCUACGGGAGGCAGCAGUAGGGAAUCUUCCGCAAUGGGCGAAAGCCUGACGGAGCAACGCCGCGUGAGUGAUGAAGGUCUUCGGAUCGUAAAACUCUGUUAUUAGGGAAGAACAAAUGUGUAAGUAACUAUGCACGUCUUGACGGUACCUAAUCAGAAAGCCACGGCUAACUACGUG
Molecule: ribosomal RNA, 496 nt
Filed under: uncultured bacterium
Lineage: Bacteria
Description: partial 16S ribosomal RNA
Rfam family: Bacterial small subunit ribosomal RNA
Source: RNAcentral